Molecule: ribosomal RNA, 425 nt
Filed under: uncultured bacterium
Lineage: Bacteria
Description: partial 16S ribosomal RNA
Rfam family: Bacterial small subunit ribosomal RNA
Source: RNAcentral
GUGGGGAAUCUUGCGCAAUGGGCGAAAGCCUGACGCAGCCAUGCCGCGUGAAUGAUGAAGGUCUUAGGAUUGUAAAAUUCUUUCACCGGGGACGAUAAUGACGGUACCCGGAGAAGAAGCUCCGGCUAACUUCGUGCCAGCAGCCGCGGUAAUACGAAGGGGGCUAGCGUUGCUCGGAAUUACUGGGCGUAAAGGGCGCGUAGGCGGACAGUUUAGUCAGAGGUGAAAGCCCAGGGCUCAACCUUGGAAUUGCCUUUGAUACUGGCUGUCUUGAGUACGGGAGAGGUGAGUGGAACUCCGAGUGUAGAGGUGAAAUUCGUAGAUAUUCGGAAGAACACCAGUGGCGAAGGCGACUCACUGGCCCGUUACUGACGCUGAGGCGCGAAAGCGUGGGGAGCAAACAGGAUUAGAAACCCGAGUAGUCC